Molecule: ribosomal RNA, 1480 nt
Filed under: uncultured bacterium
Lineage: Bacteria
Description: bacterial SSU rRNA
Rfam family: Bacterial small subunit ribosomal RNA
Source: RNAcentral
AGAGUUUGAUCCUGGCUCAGGACGAACGCUGGCGGCGUGCUUAACACAUGCAAGUCGAACGCUGAAGCUCUGGCUUGCUGGAGCGGAUGAGUGGCGAACGGGUGAGUAACACGUGAGUAACCUACCCCCCUUACUUUGGGAUAACUCCGGGAAACCGGGGCUAAUACCGGAUAUGACUGCUGGCCGCAUGGUUGGUGGGGAAAGUGUUUAGCGGUGGGGGAUGGGCUCGCGGCCUAUCAGCUUGUUGGUGCGGUGAUGGCGCACCAAGGCGACGACGGGUAGCCGGCCUGAGAGGGUGACCGGCCACACUGGGACUGAGACACGGCCCAGACUCCUGCGGGAGGCAGCAGUGGGGAAUAUUGCACAAUGGGCGAAAGCCUGAUGCAGCGACGCCGCGUGGGGGAUGACUGCCUUCGGGUUGUAAACCCCUUUCGACUCUGACGAAGCGUAAGUGACGUAGGAGUAGAAGAAGCACCGGCUAACUACGUGCCAGCAGCCGCGGUAAUACGUAGGGUGCGAGCGUUGUCCGGAAUUAUUGGGCGUAAAGAGCUUGUAGGCGGUUUGUCGCGUCUGUCGUGAAAACCAGGGGCUUAACUCCUGGCGUGCGGUGGGUAUGGGCAGGCUAGAGUGUGGUAGGGGAGACUGGAAUUCCUGGUGUAGCGGUGAAAUGCGCAGAUAUCAGGAAGAACACCGAUGGCGAAGGCAGGUCUCUGGCCAUUACUGACGCUGAGAAGCGAAAGCAUGGGGAGCGAACAGGAUUAGAUACCCUGGUAGUCCAUGCCGUAAACGUUGGGCGCUAGGUGUGGGGCUCAUUCCACGAGUUCUGCGCCGCAGCUAACGCAUUAAGCGCCCCGCCUGGGGAGUACGGCCGCAAGGCUAAAACUCAAAGGAAUUGACGGGGGCCCGCACAAGCGGCGGAGCAUGCGGAUUAAUUCGAUGCAACGCGAAGAACCUUACCAAGGCUUGACAUACCCGGAAAAGUGCAGAGAUGUGCUCCCCGUAAGGUCGGUGUACAGGUGGUGCAUGGUUGUCGUCAGCUCGUGUCGUGAGAUGUUGGGUUAAGUCCCGCAACGAGCGCAACCCUCGUUCCAUGUUGCCAGCACGUAAUGGUGGGGACUCAUGGGAGACUGCCGGGGUCAACUCGGAGGAAGGUGGGGAUGACGUCAAAUCAUCAUGCCCCGUAUGUCUUGGGCUUCACGCAUGCUACAAUGGCCGGUACAGAGGGCUGCGUACCGUAAGGUGGAGCGAAUCCCACAAAGCCGGUCUCAGUUCGGAUUGGGGUCUGCAACUCGACCCCAUGAAGUCGGAGUCGCUAGUAAUCGCAGAUCAGCAACGCUGCGGUGAAUACGUUCCCGGGCCUUGUACACACCGCCCGUCAAGUCACGAAAGUUGGUAACACCCGAAGCCGGUGGCCUAACCCUUGGGGAGGAGCCGUCGAAGGUGGGACUGGCGAUUGGGACUAAGUCGUAACAAGGUAACC